This 394-nucleotide long non-coding RNA is filed under the name Solanum tuberosum (potato). RNAcentral describes it as "long non-coding RNA (STUB_LNC008766)". Lineage: Eukaryota; Viridiplantae; Streptophyta; Magnoliopsida; Solanales; Solanaceae. The record is from RNAcentral.
GAUUUACGAGUUAAGCUUUUAUAUUAAUUUCUGAGUUAUUUGUUUGUCUUUUUACCGAUAAAAUUUUACGAUCUGCUAGUUUAGUUGUUGAUUAACGAGUUAGGGUUUGUGGGUUAAGGUUCUAUUCAAAUUUUUGAGUUAUUGAUUUGUCUUUUUACCGAUAAAAUUUUAUCUAUUAGUUUAGUUGUUGAUUUACGAGUUAGGAUUUUAUUCAAAAUUCUGAGUAAUUGAUUUGCCUUUUUAACAAUAAAAUCUUACCAUCUGUUAGUUUGGUUAUUAAUUUACGAGUUAGGGUUUGUGGAUUAAAGUUUUAUUCAAAUUUCUGAGUUAUUGGUUUGCUUUCUUACGAGUUAAGGUUUGUGGGUAGGUUUUAGGGUAUUGUAUAAUUUUGGAG